GACGAACCGUGCAAACGUUGUUCGGAAUCACUGGGCUUAAAGGGCGCGUAGGCGGGCAGUCAAGUCCGGGGUGAAAUCUUUCGGCUUAACCGGAAAAGGGCCUUGGAUACUGGCUGUCUGGAGGGAGGUAGGGGCAUGCGGAACUUCCGGUGGAGCGGUGAAAUGCGUUGAUAUCGGAAGGAACGCCGGUGGCGAAGUCGGUGUUCUGGGCCUGUACUGACGCUGAUGCGCGAAAGCGUGGGGAGCGAACAGG
Molecule: ribosomal RNA, 253 nt
Filed under: uncultured bacterium
Lineage: Bacteria
Description: partial 16S ribosomal RNA
Rfam family: Bacterial small subunit ribosomal RNA
Source: RNAcentral